Thalassophryne amazonica is the source of this 270-nucleotide long non-coding RNA. RefSeq lists it as uncharacterized. NCBI's taxonomy places the organism in Eukaryota, Metazoa, Chordata, Actinopteri, Batrachoidiformes, Batrachoididae. The record is from RefSeq and is a predicted model, not a curated record. The transcript has 3 exons.
GCACAGCUGUAGCUGCUGAAUUUCUGGCCGAGGGCGCAGUUAUGUAUUUUCAUUUUCAGGCAGGUUGUCAGGUUUGCACGUUAUAAACCAGCCUGUUGGGAGUCAAGCCAGAUUGAGCUGUUUCAUCCUGUUUUAGCACUUUUUUGGCUUGUGGGCGAUCAUAGUAGAACAGCACCCUGUGGAAUAAGCUGCGAGAGCUGCUAUUCAUGCGUGUUUUGGACAAAUAGGCAGUUAACGCUCCCCAUGCUGACAGCGGGGGUGAGAGCUCAU